Molecule: ribosomal RNA, 528 nt
Filed under: Triticum aestivum (bread wheat)
Lineage: Eukaryota; Viridiplantae; Streptophyta; Magnoliopsida; Poales; Poaceae
Description: partial small subunit ribosomal RNA
Source: RNAcentral
AUGGAGAUGCACAAAUUACUGCAACUCCGUCAGACUGGCUCUGUGGCAGACUACAGGCUUGUGUUCGAGGAUCACAUGUACCACCUGCUUGCACUCGAAGGCACGCUCAGUAACAAGUUCUUCAUCACCCAGUUUCUGCUCGGACUGCGCGACGAUUUAUGGGCAGUAGUACGACUCCAAGCACCCACAAGCAUCACUCGCGCCUCCGUGCUCGCAAGAAUUCAGGAAGAAGAAGCAGAUGCACAUCGUCCGCGACCACGCGUGUUUCCGGUGGGGCGCCCACCAACGCACCCCAUCGCUCUGCCUCCUCGACCACAGGCUGCACUGCGACCUGCCGCUGCCCCCGCCGCUGCUGGAGGGGAAGACUUCGCGCGAGAGCGGCAACUACGCGAUCACCGUCGUGCGCAUGGCCUUUGCUUCCAUUGCGGCGAUCAUUACUCCAGAGAGCACCGCUGCAAACAAGCGUUGCAGUUGCUGACAAUACACAUGGGUGAGCACGGCGAGAUCCUCACUGAAGAUGCAAUUUAG